AGCUUUGCGCAGUGGUAGUAUCGUAGCCAAUGAGGUUUAUCCGAGGCGCGAUUAUUGCUAAUUGAAAAAUAAUUCUAGGAAGACAGGUGUGAGGGAAGAAACCGGGUCUCUUUUCUGACAUGGGUUCUGAAAGCAUCC
This is a small nuclear RNA of Neomonachus schauinslandi (Hawaiian monk seal), 138 nucleotides long. RefSeq annotates it as U4 spliceosomal RNA. NCBI's taxonomy places the organism in Eukaryota, Metazoa, Chordata, Mammalia, Carnivora, Phocidae. The transcript has a single exon. The record is from RefSeq and is a predicted model, not a curated record.